GAUGAACGCUGGCGGCGUGCUUAACACAUGCAAGUCGAACGGAAAGGCCAGUGCUUGCACUGGUACUCGAGUGGCGAACGGGUGAGUAACACGUGGGUGAUCUGCCCUGUACUUCGGGAUAAGCUUGGGAAACUGGGUCUAAUACCGGAUAGGACAACUUUUUGGAUAUUGUUGUGGAAAGCUUUUGCGGUAUGGGAUGAGCUCGCGGCCUAUCAGCUUGUUGGUGGGGUAAUGGCCUACCAAGGCGUCGACGGGUAGCCGGCCUGAGAGGGUGUACGGCCACAUUGGGACUGAGAUACGGCCCAGACUCCUACGGGAGGCAGCAGUGGGGAAUAUUGCACAAUGGGCGCAAGCCUGAUGCAGCGACGCCGCGUGGGGGAUGAAGGCCUUCGGGUUGUAAACUCCUUUCGCUAGGGACGAAGCUUUUUUGUGACGGUACCUGGAGAAGAAGCACCGGCUAACUACGUG
RNAcentral lists this ribosomal RNA (468 nucleotides) under uncultured bacterium. RNAcentral's name for it is "partial 16S ribosomal RNA". It matches the Rfam family "Bacterial small subunit ribosomal RNA", at positions 28 to 507 of the family's 1533-position model. The record is from RNAcentral.